CAGCCGCCACGGUAAUACAGAGGGUGCUAGCGUUAAUCGGAUUUACUGGGCGUAAAGCGUGCGUAGGCGGCUUCUUAAGUCGGAUGUGAAAUCCCUGAGCUUAACUUAGGAAUUGCAUUCGAUACUGGGAAGCUAGAGUAUGGGAGAGGAUGGUAGAAUUCCAGGUGUAGCGGUGAAAUGCGUAGAGAUCUGGAGGAAUACCGAUGGCGAAGGCAGCCAUCUGGCCUAAUACUGACGCUGAGGUACGAAAGCAUGGGGAGCAAACAGGAUUAGAGACCCCCGUAGUCCCUGUCUCUUAUAA
RNAcentral lists this ribosomal RNA (301 nucleotides) under uncultured bacterium. Its description in RNAcentral is "partial 16S ribosomal RNA". It matches the Rfam family "Bacterial small subunit ribosomal RNA", at positions 509 to 809 of the family's 1533-position model. The record is from RNAcentral.